CAACUUUCAGCAAUGGAUCUCUCGGCUUUCGUAUCGAUGAAGAACGCAGCAAAUCGCGAUAUGUAAUGUGAUCUGCCUAUAGUGAAUCAUCAAAUCUUUGAACGCAUCUUGCACCCUAUGGUAUUCCAUAAGGUACGUCUGUUUCAGUACCAACU
This 155-nucleotide ribosomal RNA is filed under the name Cunninghamella homothallica. RNAcentral's name for it is "5.8S ribosomal RNA". It matches the Rfam family "5.8S ribosomal RNA". Rfam says of the family: 5.8S ribosomal RNA (5.8S rRNA) is a component of the large subunit of the eukaryotic ribosome. It is transcribed by RNA polymerase I as part of the 45S precursor that also contains 18S and 28S rRNA. The record is from RNAcentral. Lineage: Eukaryota; Fungi; Mucoromycota; Mucoromycetes; Mucorales; Cunninghamellaceae.